CCCAAGCCAGGAGACCCACAGGAGGAGGAAAGCUCUGCUGGCCUGCUCAAGGAUAAAGCACGACGGCAUUUACCUCGUUUAUUUUGAUACCAAAUUUCCAGCUACUGAAGGUAAUUGAGACUGCAAACAAAAUCUCACUAUCCACUGAUCUGCCAAAUCAAAUUUUUCCUCCUGUUUGUGAAAAUAAGCACUGGUGAAUGAAGAUGAAAGAGAAAUGUUGCUGGUUUCUUCCCUGGAGAUCGUAUUUCUUACUUGUUGCAUAACUGCUUAUUUUAGCAUCAAUCAGCCAAGCCUUUGUUGUGCAGACAAUUCUGUCCUUUUAAAGGAUUUGUGCAGUAUUGUUUCUUCCAAAAUGCUUUUUUUUUUGUUUUUAUUAUUAGAUUUAUUUCCUCUCUUAGCAAAUGCCAACUGACAACACCCUGCAACACCCUGUCAGAGCUCUUCAUAAGUGUUACAUGAAUGUCAUACUAUGUAAACUGAGUGUUGUAUAUAACAUAUACAUGACCUUUCUGAAGAACCAUCCAUCAAGUACUGUCUCUGUGUGUGUCACGUUUAUGCAUUUGUACACAAGCUGUGUUUAAGUGUGCAUAUAUGGUAGCCAAAAAUCUCUUAAGGGGAGUACUCAAAAAGCUGAAAUGUCCAA
Molecule: long non-coding RNA, 643 nt
Organism: Vidua chalybeata
Lineage: Eukaryota; Metazoa; Chordata; Aves; Passeriformes; Viduidae
Exons: 3
Source: RefSeq, a predicted model, not a curated record